Molecule: ribosomal RNA, 253 nt
Filed under: uncultured bacterium
Lineage: Bacteria
Description: partial 16S ribosomal RNA
Rfam family: Bacterial small subunit ribosomal RNA
Source: RNAcentral
UACGUAGGCAGCGAGCGUUGUUCGGAUUUACUGGGCGUAAAGGGCGCGUAGGCGGCUUAACAAGUCACUUGUGAAAUCUCCGGGCUUAACUCGGAACGGCCAAGUGAAACUGUCAAGCUAGAGUGCAGAAGGGGCAAUCGGAAUUCUUGGUGUAGCGGUGAAAUGCGUAGAUAUCAAGAGGAACACCUGAGGUGAAGACGGGUUGCUGGGCUGACACUGACGCUGAGGCGCGAAAGCCAGGGGAGCAAACGGG